CCUACGGGAGGCAGCAGUGAGGAAUAUUGGUCAAUGGGCGUAAGCCUGAACCAGCCAAGUCGCGUGAGGGAUGAAGGUUCUAUGGAUCGUAAACCUCUUUUAUAAGGGAAUAAAGUGUGGGACGUGUCCUGUUUUGUAUGUACCUUAUGAAUAAGGAUCGGCUAACUCCGUGCCAGCAGCCGCGGUAAUACGGAGGAUCCGAGCUUUAUCCGGAUUUAUUGGGUUUAAGGGGUGCGUAGGCGGCCUUUAAGUCAGCGGUGAAAGUCUGUGGCUCAACCAUAGAAUUGCCGUUGAAACUGGGAGGCUUGAGUAUGUGUGAGGCAGGCGGAAUGCGGGGUGUAGCGGUGAAAUGCUUAGAUAUCACGCAGAACCCCGAUUGCGAAGGCAGCCUGCCAAGCCAUGACUGACGCUGAUGCACGAAAGCGUGGGGAUCAAACAGGAUUAGAUACCCCAGUAGUC
RNAcentral lists this ribosomal RNA (459 nucleotides) under uncultured bacterium. RNAcentral describes it as "partial 16S ribosomal RNA". It matches the Rfam family "Bacterial small subunit ribosomal RNA", at positions 338 to 795 of the family's 1533-position model. The record is from RNAcentral.